This 885-nucleotide long non-coding RNA is filed under the name Brassica napus (rape). RNAcentral's name for it is "long non-coding RNA (BNAP_LNC018665)". The record is from RNAcentral. Lineage: Eukaryota; Viridiplantae; Streptophyta; Magnoliopsida; Brassicales; Brassicaceae.
GUAACUAAAAAAAAAGAAUAACACCAAUUUUAACGACGAUAACGCCGCUAGCUAAACUUUAAACCCUAAAUCUUAAAUUCUAAACCCUAAACCUUAAAUCGUAAACCCAAACCCAAAAUCCUAUACCCUAAACCCAAAUCCUAGACUCUAAACCCAAAUUGUAUACCCUAAACUCAAACUGUAUACCCUAAACCCAAACCAUAAAUCCUAAACCCAAACCAUAUACCCUAAACCUAAAUCCUAGACCUUGAAACCAAACCUUAUACCCUAAACCUAAAUCCUAGACCCUAAAUCCAAACCUUAUAGUGCCUUGGUUUAGGGUUUGGAUUUUGUGUUUACAGUUUGGGUUUUAAGUCUAAGAUUUGGGUUUAGGGUAUACGGUUUGGGUUUAGGGUCUAGGAUUUGGUUUAGGGUAUAGGAUUUUGAUUUAAGGUUUACGGUUUGGGUUUAGGGUCUAUGAUUUGGGUUUAGAGUAUAUGGUUUGGGUUUAGGGUCUAAGAUUCGGGUUUAUGAUAUAGGGUGUGGGUUUAAUAUUUACUGUUUAGGGUUGAGAAAUUAAGAUUUCGGAUUUACGGUUUAGCAGGCGGCGUCAGCGUUGUUAAAAUUAGCAUUAUUCUUUUUUUUAGUUAUUUUUAAAUAAAUUUAAUAUUUUUUAAUUAGUUAUCUACCUGACAGUUUGAUUAGUCCUGGAAUGAAAGGUGAAUUCUAGGGUGAACCUAAAUUUUGUUCUUAAUUUAAAUAUCAGUUUAGGAAAUAUGAUCCAGAAAUUUUCGUAGUCCUGGAUGUUAAUAGUGUUUUAUAAGGAAUACAACAAGACUACAAAUCUCUCAAGGUUUAGCCUUUUUGAGACUUUGUUAUGUUAGUCCAAUAGUUUGAUCAUUUGGA